UACGUAGGGGGCAAGCGUUGUCCGGAUUUACUGGGCGUAAAGAGCGUGUAGGCGGCCAGGCAGGUCUGUUGUGAAAACUCGAGGCUCAACCUCGAGAUGUCGGCUGAAACCAUCUGGCUAGAGUCCGGAAGAGGAGAAUGGAAUUCCCGGUGUAGCGGUGAAAUGCGCAGAUAUCGGGAAGAACACCCGUGGCGAAGGCGGUUCUCUGGGACGGUACUGACGCUGAGACGCGAAAGCGUGGGGAGCGAACAGG
Molecule: ribosomal RNA, 253 nt
Filed under: uncultured bacterium
Lineage: Bacteria
Description: partial 16S ribosomal RNA
Rfam family: Bacterial small subunit ribosomal RNA
Source: RNAcentral